GAUGAACGCUGACAGAAUGCUUAACACAUGCCAGUCCACUUGAAUUUGGGUUUUUAACUUAGGUUUGGGUGGCGGACGGGUGAGUAACGCGUAAAGAACUUGCCUCACAGCUAGGGACAACAUUUGGAAACGAAUGCUAAUACCUAAUAUUAUGAUAAUAGGGCAUCCUAUAAUUAUGAAAGCUAUAAGCGCUGUGAGAGAGCUUUGCGUCCCAUUAGCUAGUUGGAGAGGUAACGGCUCACCAAGGCGAUGAUGGGUAGCCGGCCUGAGAGGGUGAUCGGCCACAAGGGGACUGAGAAACGGCCAUUACUCAUACGGGAGGCAGCAGUGGGGAAUAUUGGACAAUGGACCGAGAGUCUGAUCCAGCAAUUCUGUGUGCAAGAUGAAGUUUUUCGGAAUGUAAAGUGCUUUCAGUUGGGAAGAAACAAAUGACGGUACCAACAGAAGAAGUGACGGCUAAAUACGUG
This 467-nucleotide ribosomal RNA is filed under the name uncultured bacterium. RNAcentral's name for it is "partial 16S ribosomal RNA". It matches the Rfam family "Bacterial small subunit ribosomal RNA", at positions 28 to 507 of the family's 1533-position model. The record is from RNAcentral.